This 814-nucleotide ribosomal RNA is filed under the name uncultured Bacteroidota bacterium. RNAcentral describes it as "bacterial SSU rRNA". It matches the Rfam family "Bacterial small subunit ribosomal RNA", at positions 102 to 919 of the family's 1533-position model. Lineage: Bacteria; Pseudomonadati; Bacteroidota. The record is from RNAcentral.
ACGGGUGCGUAACGCGUAUGCAACCUACCUAAAAGAGGAGCAUAGCCCGGGGAAACCCGGAUUAAUAUUCCAUAGUAUAUAGCCUUGGCAUCAGGGUUAUAUUAAAGCUUCGGCGCUUUUAGAUGGGCAUGCGUCCAAUUAGCUAGUUGGUGAGGUAAAGGCUCACCAAGGCGACGAUUGGUANGGGGUCUGAGAGGAUUAUCCCCCACACUGGUACUGAGACACGGACCAGACUCCUACGGGAGGCAGCAGUAGGGAAUAUUGGUCAAUGGGCGAUAGCCUGAACCAGCCAUGCCGCGUGCAGGAAGACGGCCCUUGGGUUGUAAACUGCUUUUCUACGGGAAGAAAAAGGCAUUGCGGUGCCUCUUGACGGUACCGUAGGAAUAAGCACCGGCUAACUACGUGCCAGCAGCCGCGGUAAUACGUAGGGUGCAAGCGUUGUCCGGAUUCACUGGGUUUAAAGGGUGCGCAGGCGGACCGGUCAGUCAGUGGUGAAAGCCCGGGGCUUAACUCCGGAGUUGCCAUUGAUACUGCCGGUCUUGAGUACGCAUGAGGUAGGCGGAAUUCGUGGUGUAGCGGUGAAAUGCAUAGAUACCAUGAGGAACACCCAUUGCGAAGGCAGCUUACUGGGGCGUAACUGACGCUCAGGCACGAAAGCGUGGAUAGCAAACAGGAUUAGAUACCCUGGUAGUCCACGCCGUAAACGAUGGACACUCGAUGUUGGCAGGUUGCUGUCAGCGUCCAAGCGAAAGCGUUAAGUGUCCCACCUGGGGAGUACGGUCGCAAGAUUGAAACUCAAAGGAAUUGACGGGGG